This 422-nucleotide ribosomal RNA is filed under the name Astrosyne radiata. RNAcentral describes it as "partial Eukaryotic large subunit ribosomal RNA". It matches the Rfam family "Eukaryotic large subunit ribosomal RNA", at positions 1486 to 1900 of the family's 3401-position model. The record is from RNAcentral. Lineage: Eukaryota; Bacillariophyta; Fragilariophyceae; Cyclophorales; Cyclophoraceae.
GAAGACUGAAGUGGAGAAAGGUUUGGUGGGAACAGCAGUUGGCCGCCAGUGAGCCGCUCCUAAGAGAUAGGGUAACGCCGUUCGGAAGUGGGUGACUUGCGCACCCCGCCUAUCGAAAGGGAACCAGGUUUAUAUUCCUGGGCCUGGUCGGAGACAGGUGGUAACACACACGAGCUAGACGACGUCGGAGGGAGCCUCGGGGAGAGUUCUCUUUUCUUGUUAACAGCCUAUUUCCCCGGAAUCGGUUCGCCCGGAGAUGGGGAUGCAUGGCUGGAAUAGCCGCCGCGCCUAGCGGCGGUCCGAAGCGCUCUCGACGGCCCUUGAAAAGUCUAGCGAGGUACUUUUAGUCAGUCUCGCACCAGGGCGUACUCAUAACCGCAUCAGGUCUCCAAGGUUACCAGCCUCUAGUCGAUAGAAGAAUG